Molecule: non-coding RNA, 21 nt
Filed under: Arabidopsis thaliana (thale cress)
Lineage: Eukaryota; Viridiplantae; Streptophyta; Magnoliopsida; Brassicales; Brassicaceae
Source: RNAcentral
UAGAGCUGCUAGAUAUUGCCC